GCGAUCAUACCAGCACUAAUGCACCGGAUCCCAUCAGAACUCCGAAGUUAAGCGUACUUGGGCGAGAGUAGUACUAGGAUGGUGACCCCCUGGGAAGUCCUCGUGUUGCACCCC
Molecule: ribosomal RNA, 114 nt
Filed under: Salvia splendens (bonfire salvia)
Lineage: Eukaryota; Viridiplantae; Streptophyta; Magnoliopsida; Lamiales; Lamiaceae
Source: RNAcentral